AAACCCACUUAAGCAACACUUGAAGUACCACACUACUCUUUACAUUCUUUCGUCUUCAUAUUUCAAAAGCUCUCUAAUAUUAAGCGAUGGCUGUGUCUCCAAUCCAGUCGGUGCUUGGAAUGUUGGGUAUUAUGUCCAUGCAACACCGUCAUGCUGGGGUGCAUAUCAGCUCAUUUUAUCCACCUGUUGCACAAGUUUGGAACUCGUGGUUUAAUUAAGUCCUUUACCGCUUCUGGAUGAAGACUGAAAGGAUGUGUUUGUGUUAUCCUUUUAAGUAAUGUUAAUAAGCAUGGCUUUGACUGAUCCACUAUCUCCACUGGAGUGUGUGUGUGUGAAUCUCAAUGCUAUGAGCAAAUAAACUGUGUCUUUAUGUACUUCUAUUUCAUGUGCUCGUAAUAAAUCAGUCUUUCGGCCAAACAGUUAUUAAAUAUCUUUGCUUAAAAAUUUUUGAACAAAUAAUUUGUUUCCUCAUCAAAAUAUUUGAAAUAUAUAUUAAUAUAUAUUUUAAUUCAAGACUUAAAAAUAAGUUGCCUAAAUACUUUAUUUGAAACAAUCGAAUUAAUUUUUAACAAGACACGAAACAUAACUCCAAAAAAGAACAGAAAGUGUAUGUAAUGGUGUUGCAGACUGAAUGCAUUUCUUGUUUUCAAUAUGAUUGGUUAGUCACAACAUGAUAAAAGGUUUUUUACGAUCAGUUGUGGUUUUAGGUUAAUUGAAUUUAUAAAAUAAUUGAUGCAUUUAUCUAUAAUUUGUAAUGUUUUUUAACAAUUCUGUAAAACAUGGUUCUUUCUUAUGAAAUUGCCAAAUUACUAAAUAAUAGUUUCAGUACCAAUAUUUUAUAAUAAGUCCUAAACAUUAUAAAAGUGGUUAUUUUUUUUAAACAAAAGCUAUGGACUUUGGUUGUUCACAUUUUCCAAUGUUUUCUAUUUUUUUAAAAAUUAUUAGAUUAGAGAAUAAUAGCUCCAAUUGCCUAUAUUUUUGUUAAAAGUAGUUAUUUUUUGUAAAAGGAUUAUUCACAAAAUAAGAGUUCAUAUUAUCAAUAUUUUGUAAUAUUAUCAAAGAUCUUGUAAAAAAUGCUUCUUUUUUUUUUAUUAAAGAGUUGUUUAUAGAAUAAUAGUUCUGAUUACUAAUAUUUUGUAAAAUUUUCUAAUCUUUUUGUAAAAAAUAUAUAUAUUUUUUGUAAAUUUAGGUAAAACUAAGUAAAUUGUUAAAUUUAUCCCGACUCAUGCGUUGAUAAAAGGUUGUCCUCCAUCCAUAUUUUUGAUAGGGUUUUAGAUAGGUUCCAUAAUUAUUUUUAUGCAGCACAAUGUAUAAAUUUAUCUCUGUAUUUAUAUGUACAAAAUAUGGUAGCACUUUUAAUUUUUGCCAGUGUUAGAACUUACGUAACGUGGGAGCAAUAUUAGAUGAAAAAAUAAUUUUUUAUAAAAUCAUUCAAAAAUAAUAAAAUUGUAUAAUAAAAUAAUCAUGAAAUGUAUUACAAAAUUGUAUCUCAUUGAGAUAUGUUAAAAGAAAGUUAAAAUGCUAAGAUGUGUUUUCUUAAGUAUCCUGCGAAGCUUUUUACCAAAGUAUGCAAUAAAAAAAACUAUGCAUGGUAUAAUCUAGGGGUGUCAAAAUGGGUUGGUUUGUCAGGUUCGACACCAAUUCACCUAACACGCAACAUAAUUACGGUCAACAUAAAUACUAUCAAUUUAAUAUUAUUUUAAAUUUAUCAACAUGAACACGAUACGAAAAUUAGGCAAGUGAUAGGAACACGAUAAAUUUAACCCAACUAAUAUUAUAAACAAGUUAAGUAGUUCGUGUUGACCCAUAUACAACCCGUGUAAUCCGCUUGAUAUCAUAAACAAGUUAAAGGUCCUUACUGUUCUUAUUUUUUAUUUUUUUAAUUUUGAAUAAUUGAUAAAACUUGUUGGUCCCUACUGUUCUUUUUCACACGUGGCAAUCUUAUAGGCUUACACUUGGCUUCUAUAUAAUGGAAACUGAUUUUCUUUUCUAUAUUAUAUAGAUAUAUAGAUUUUGAUAUAUUUGAUACUUUAAUUUAUAAAAUUAUAUCCAUACAAUAUUUCAGCUUUUAAAAAUUAUUUUAUUGAAAAAUCGAAUUCGUAAAAUUGAAUUGAUUAAAAUUUACUAGAUAGUUAAAAUAUAUGAAAAUUAUUGUUUCAAAAAUUAUGCUAAUAACACAUUAAGUAAACAUUUUGCACGUAAAUACCAAAAACAUUAAAAAAAAUUAAUAUAACUAAUAUUAAAAGGAAUAAAAUAUUAUUAAAAUUUGUAAUUUUAAGAAUAUAAUAGAUUUAUCACAAAGUUUAGAAUCUAACAGUAUAUCCCUAAAAUAUAGGGAUUAAUUUAUAUAUUUGGCAUUUUUCUCCACGUUUUAGUAAGUUUCUGCGAUCUUACUUUCAUGACCACAAUCACACAAGCACAAGAAGCCAAGAAACCAUUAUUCGUAAGAUGCAAGACAAAGCUUUUUCUUCUUCAUAAAAAUGGACACAUAGCACAAUCAGUGUCAGCAAUUUGGGAAAGGAUGACACAAUAAAUUAUAAUUAUCACUCGCCAUCAGCUUUCUAUUAUUUGCGGGACAAGAGUAAGUGCACUUACCAACAGAAGACAAUGUUAAGGUUGAGGAGAAGGGUAGUGCAGUGGAUAUUCUUGCUUUUGCUAUAAUUUCUAUGUUUUGUUUAGGCUAAUUCAUAGCUACAGAAAUUAUCAUCUUAUCUAAAGUUUUUAUUUUUAUAUGUAUGUUGAGAUUUUUCAGAUUUUUUUCAUUUAGAGCAAGCUAGUAUGAGUGUAAAUGAGAAGUGUUUGUGGCUGAGUAUAAUUUUUUGAAUAAGCUAAAUUUUUCUGAAUUUAAAAUAAUAAAAUAAAUUUAUUUUGCCGAUUAAAAAAAUUAAAAUUAUAUGUAGUGGUUGUGGAUAUCCAACCUUUUUCUUUUUGUUUGAUGAGAUCCUGAUAAGUAUUUCUUUCAAAAAUUAUUUGGAUUCUGCAAUCUUCUGUCACAUGUAUUUGUCUUGCAAACCGUAAAAUUUUGAAUUUUCAGUAUUGGUUGCUAUACAUUUAUGAAAAUAUAUUUUCCUUUUUCAAAAGAAAAAAAAAUCUUAUACAAGUAUAACAACAAUCAUUAUCUAUCACUUGAAUCACUUGCAUCCAAACAUCAUUUGAUACUUUGUUAAAGUUGUCUACUUGGUACAACUUAAUUCUUUACCCGACGGCCGUUAAACAACACAUCAAGUAUUUUAUUCUAAGUUGAACAAAAAUGCCGGCUCUGUGUGUUUAUAUAUAUAUAUAUAUAUAUAUAUAUAAUUAAUAAUAAUAAAAAAAAUUCCUCCUUACAUUUCAUGUUUUUAUAUUUGGCCAUGCUUUAAUCUAUCAAUCAGUAUUUGUAACAUGUUUGGCCAUGCUUUAACCUAUCAAUAUCAAUAUCCAUUAUUGCUUUAUGUUCGAUGAGAUUUUAAUAAUUAAGUAUUUCUCUCACCAAUUAUUUGGAUUCUGUAAUCUUGUGUGACACAGUGACUUGCUAAUUGUUUAUGACUUGAUCCAUUCAUUUAUUAGAAGGAACCUAAUCGGCAUUAGUGCAAGAUUAACAUUAUUUCUGCUUACAAUUAAAAUGGCCAACCAAAUAUACGCUGAUAGAGUGUACCGUCUUUAGAAAACAAAUUGAUUAGUGUAUUUUUAAUAUAGUUUUUAUUAGGAUUUUUAGUAUUUUUAAUUAUUUUAAUUAGUUUCUAUUUAAUUUAUUUAUGUUUUUUUUCAAAGUUUCAUUGAAUCAUAUUUCACUUGAUUUUAAGAAAUUUUAUAGGAUUUUGAUAUAGAAAAGAGCAAAGUGAAAUAAAACUCUCAAAGGCUGGCACGUCUUAGGCGUUCAACUCAACACCCCAGUGCGGGAUUGAAGAGAAAUUAACAUAGAGACUCAGAGCGUAGCAUGCCCAAGCCGUGUAUUAAAAUUGUUUAGAUACGGCAGAGAUCUCUCCUUAUAUAAACUUAUUAAAGCUUUUUUAAGUCUAAUUAGGAAAACCACUUAAUUUGCAGAGGAAGAAAUCUAAUCACAAAAGAAAACGAUUAAGUCUUGUAUUUCUUCUGAAAUUAAGAGUCCAAUUGACCAAUUAGAAUUAGAACUCAAAUUAGGUAAUUAUCUUUGCGGUUCCCUUUUUUUUAACUUGAUAUUUAGCAAAUUUCUAAUUCUCUAUAAAAACCUUCUAGAACGAAAUCAAAAUAAUAAAGGAAGCAAAAAUUAAUAAUUAAAUAAAAUAUAAAUAAAACUAAAUAAAGACUAUCUAAAAUAAAUAAAAUACUACUCCCUCAGUUCUAAAAAAAUAAUCUCACUUUUUAUAAUGAAUGCCCCAAAAUAAUAGUGUCAUUUCUAUUUCGGAAAUAGGUUUUUGUUAACUUUCUUAUAUUCUGCCAACAAUUAAUAUAAGUAGACUUACAAAAUAUUCAGUCAAAAUAUAAAUAUAAAAUAAUAUAAAUUAAUUGAAACAUGUGCGGAGAUAUUAAUUUUUUUUACUGAAAAACUCUAUAAACAUUAAUCAAAAAAAUUUUAAUAUAAGGGUAUAAAUGAAAAAGAAGGAUAACUGAUAUAUUUAAACUAAUUUAACUAUUCAUUCUUAAUUUGUAUGAAAAAAGAGUGAGACUAUUUUUUUGUGACGGACAAGUAGAAAUUAUAAUAAAAAUUAUAUUAUAAAAAUUAUAAAAAAUAAACCUAUCACCUCUUUACAUUUCAUGUUUUUAAGAUAAAAAUAUUGAUGGGUUAUAUUUAUUUUGAAAUGUGAUUUUAUUAUAUAAAAUAGUGUUGAUGUUCGGAUUGCUGAAUGAUAAAUUGUGGCGGACUAUAUUAUAUGAUGUUUGAAUACUUGUUGCUCAUACAUUUGUUAUUCACAAAGGGUAUUUCAAUCUUCUUUUAAACUAGUUUUUUUUUUUUUACAACGUGCAUUGUAAGUUGAUCAUUUUCUUUAUAUAUUUAUUUUUUUAUCUAUAUAAUAUCAAAGUAUGAGUUUUGUUUAGAUUAAAAUAAAUAUAAAUGGUUAAUUUGUAUCUACAAACUACUUGUAAUGAAGUGGUCUCAAAACAAAAUUCAACCCAAUCUUUAGACCCACUUCUUUAGUUUCUAAUUUAUAAAUGCUGAUUUUUAAAAUCCUAAUAGGUGCCCAAAAAGAAAAUCAAAUCAUUACUCAAUCUUCAACCUCUGUCCUCAAUCUCAAAUCAAUAUUUAUAUACAACUAUAAUUAAAAAUAAUAAUAAAUUAUUUUUAUUGCUAGAUAAAAGAAAAGAAUUGAGAGGAUGAUCUGAAUUAAUAAUGAAAACUACUUUGGUUACAGUGGUAAUAUUAUUUACCCAGUAUAUUAAAGAAAUGAAUAUAUGCGCAUAUAAACAAAUACUGGAAACCCCCAAAUGUGACCCACACAGAACUAUAUAGUUCUAGUUUUAUUUCAGUUUUGUGGUUUGUUUUGCGAAUUCAUAACUUAAGAUUAUUAACUUAUGAAAACCCCUCGUGAGUCAAAUCAUAUAGUUUCGACAUCAAGUUAUUAUUCUCAUGUAAUUUGUUACCUUUUUCAUAUGAAAAACUCUUUUUCCGAUAGUGAUUAAUGAAAUAAAUCAAUCCAGGGGAAAAAUUCUGCCUCAAAGCAUUAAGUUCAAUAAUAAAUUAUACUUUGAACAAAGAAAAACAAAUCUAAUAUUAUAAAUUGGAAAAGAAUUCAAGCUACAUCAAAUCCCUAGGAUGAAGAUUUAGUUCGACAUAGUAAUUAAAUAAAACCCAAUAAUACUUGAACAAAAUUUCAUAAUAAGUGUGAAUAAUGAAAAGUAAAACAAGAUUAAGAGUUUAGAAAUAAAAACUAGGCAACAUAUAACGAGACGGCUUCCUUGAAUUUUUGCACGAAUCUUGAAUGCUUGAAGUCUUUGAGAGGGAAAAGAAACAGUCGAACAGAAAUUGUCAAAGACCAGAGAUGCCUCUAUAAUAAAUGGCCCCUCUCUUUAUAUAGACUUCUUGGGAGAAAAUUUGACUCUGUUUAGGAAAUAGACUCCUUAUUAAGUAAGAGAUCUUUUUGGAGAUAUGAAACUAUUUAGGCUUUAGAUUUCUUCUCAAUUAGGACUUUUUCCAUCUUCCUAAAUAGGAUUAGAACUUGUUUUGCACAUAAGAAAAAAUCAGAGGUGGGCCCAUGUAAGUUAUAGAAACUGGCUGGCGUUCUCAAUUUAGGACAUAAUCAAAUUUGUAGCAUGGGCGUGCUGUUUUGCACUGUCUGGGCGUGCCAGAGCCUGAGUUCCUUGGUUGGUUCAGCACGGGCCGUGCUGCGCAAUACGUCCAGAGAAAAUUCUACGGCACAUGCAUGCCCCAUAGCACGGGUAGGGCAUGAUAGGCUUUGACUUUCCAGGAUGAAAUGCAUCAUAGCUUAAGCACCCCCUGAGGUCUUCUUAGGCACGGGCGUGCUAAUGUGCACAGGCAGGGCCUGCUAGGGCUUGAAUGUUUUGCUUUAAUUUGCUCUUUUCUGUGUCAAAAUUCUGUAAAUUUCUUUAAAAUUAAGUGGAUUAUGAUUCAAUGAAACUUUGAACAAAAACAUAGAUAAAACUAAAUAAAAAUUAAUUAAAGUAAUUAAAAUUACUAAAAUUCCUAAUAAGAACUAUAUUAAAAAUACUAUAAAAAUAGCACCUAUCAUCUUCAAUAAUGUUAACUUCCCUUAUCUUUUUUUUUUUUUUUUCCAAAUGACCCUUAUCUUAUUAAUUUGAUUUAUAAUAAUUUAUAAUAGCAAUUUCUUUUAUUCACAGUUAUUUUUCAUAUUUUUAAGAGAAUCUUAUAUGAAUCGGAGUGUAAUUAUAAUUUUUGUAGUUAUAUUUUUCAUAUUUCUUUUAUUCACAGUUAUAUAUAUAUAGAUUUUGUAGUUAGUAGUAAACCCUAAACCUCUAUUUCUAGUCUGCUUCACCAGUUAUCUAGGUCAACACUAUGUCCGGCCGAUUUUAUUGCAUUGGUUCCAUGUCUUGUCAGGCUGGUGGCCUUGCCGACAACUUAAUUUGUAUACAAAAGUACCCAUAUUCUUAUGAAUUUUUUCUAGUGAAAUUUAAUAGUGCCGAUGAUAAAUUGGAUUUUAGGUAUGACAACGUGAUAAUAAUUCAGUAACAAUAGGAUAAAUAAGCUCAUUAUUAUCAAUAAUCAAUCAAAUUAUUCUACCUGUUAUUUAAUACCUCUUAAAUAAGCCGUUGUUGCUUGAUAUGAAAAAUAAAUUCUGAUUGAAAGCGUGAGACCUAACAUAAUAGGUUAAUAUCCAUAUAAUAUAAGAAAGCAGGCCGAGCCGGAUAUCUUGGCUUCAAUGAGUUUAUCACUGCUAUGCAAGUUUUAAUUUAGUACUUUUUCUGAAGUUUAUUAUUAUUAAAUUAAUUGUUAUUUACUGAUUAACUGAUGCUUUGAAGGGUAGUUAGUUUCUUUAGCGCAAGCAGGACAUGAAAUAACUCAUGAUCUCUUUUUUAUUGCACGUGCGCAUAAAUAAAUUAAAACAACCUUUAGCCCCAGCCAGGUGGCCAGGUAUGUUUAUAAAUUAUUGUCAGGUAUACCUAUUGUCUCAUUGAAACUCUAUUAUCACUUGAGUACAAAAACGACACGACUUCACUAUUGACUCAAACAACACAACAUAAUGAUAAGUAAGUUUUUAGGUUAUACCGUGUUUAGUUAGAGAUAAUGCAAUAUAAUGUAAUUAAAUAUAUAAUAUAAUAAAAAAUAUAAUUAAUGAAAUAGAAUAAAUUAAGAUUUUAUUAUUAUAUUUAAUAAUGUAAUUGAGAAAAUUUAUAUAAUAUAAUUACAAUUUUAUUUUUAUGUUAGUUUGUUAAUACCUAAUAUAAUUAGCGCACCUACGAGUGGCACAAGGCUGCCUAUUUGAGGUUACAUUGCUGCAACUUUGUAGGAGCGGAUUCCAUGGUUGCAACCUGUUGCGUAUUUUAUUUUAUUUAAGAUAUUAUAGGGGUUAAUUUUAGGAGGUUAAGCGAUGUAAUAAUGCACCCUACUAAUAGAUAAAUUUAUUUAAAUAUGAUUAUGAGAAACGUGAAAAAGAAAAACAAAACAAAGCCUUCAAAUAAAAAUUUUCUACAUUUUCUUUUUGAGGAAAAUAAAUAUAAAAGGUAAAUAGAAUGGUAUAAAACACAGCCUCUUAAGUUUUUGUUUACCUGACAAAUUUAAAUGCGGAGGUAUUAUCUAACAAUAAUUAAGAGGUAUGUCUUAGAGUGGGAUCCAAAGAUGAAAAUCGUAUACUAAAGGAGCCAGCUACUCUUCCAAGAAGAGCUGAAAGAGUGUCUUCAGUUGGAGACAAUAAUAUUGAGAUUCUAAAAAAAUUGGGUCCAAUUACUACUCUUUUAGCCACAUUGGUGGAAAAGAUAGAUAAAAACAUUGAGCAAAUAAAAAAAAAUAGUGCACAAAUUGAAGAGUUUUAGUCUUUUGUUGCUGAUUUGAGGCACUUUCACCAAGAAAUGGGUCAGUAUUUUGAGAUUUUUGAAACAUCUACCGAAGAAAAAAGUUGUCAAAAAAGUAAAGAUGCACUUGAAGGUAGUGAUCAUCAAGUACUCGUAGACUCAGAUGUGACCCAACCUCCUACACAAGAACCAUAAACAAAAUGGAAAUUUGUUAACUUUCAAGAUCUUUUUGCAAGUGAUGAGAUAGAUGACCCAGUAAGAAAAAUUAUGGAGGGCAUACUUGAUGCUAUUAAUGUUGAUCUAGGUAAGAAUGAUGAUAAUAAAUAGGUUAAUGUGGAUUUAUUGGUAGUAAUUCUGCACUUUCUGAUUAUUUUUUAUUUUUUUGUAAGUCACUUUGUGUCCUUUUGUUUUUAGUAUUUGUGCACUUUUCAAUAGUUUUUGGUUUCUCUAUGUUAGUUAACGGUUGUAAACUUUUGUAAGCUAUUUUAUAGCCUUUUAAUUAUUAAUUGUGCCACUUCUAUAAGCCAUUUUGUGUCCAUAUUUUUAGUACUUCUGCACUUUUUCAAUGAUUUUUUUCUGUGUAGUUAACGGUUCUAAACUUCUGUAAGCCACUUUGUGGCCUUUUAAUUAUUAGUUGUACACUUUUGUAAGUCAUUUUGUGGCCAUGUUUUUUGUACUUGUACACUUUUUCAAUGGUUUUUUAGUUAACGAUUCUGAACUUCUGUAAGCUACUUUAUGCCAUUUAAUUAUUAGUUGUGCACUUUUACAAUAGUUUUUUUUUUUUUUAGUUAACGGUUCUAACCUUUUGUAAGCUACUUUGUGGUCUUUUAAUUAAUAAUUGUGCACUUCUGUAAGCUAUUUUGUGGCUAUAUUUUUAGUACUUGUGCACCUGUUCAAUUGUUUUUUUUUUCUCUAUGGUAGUUAAUAGUUUUGAACUUCUGUAAGCCACUUUAUCGCUUUUUAAUUAUUAGUUGUGCACUUUUAUAAGCCAUUCUGUGGCCUUGUCAUUCUUAGUUGUGAACUUUUUCAAUUUCUUAUAAUGGUUAUACUCUUUCGUAAACCACAAUGUUGCCUUAUUAUUAUUAGUUGUACACUUUUCAAAAUGUAAAGUAGUCACACAUUUUGCUAGAGUGCACUUUUUAAAAAAAUUGUGCCUUCAAACUCACCCUAAAACUCGAAUUUUAGGGGAUCACUCAUAUUGUAGACAACCAUAGCCAUUUCUGCUUUAUUAUGUACAGGAUUCAAGUCUAGAGGAUGCAAAGUAAUGGUCAUUUUUGGAUAUUGUAUGACCUAUAUGGAUGUUUUCGAGAGGUAAAUAGAUUUUCCUUGAAUCAGAUCAUCAACUGUAAUUCCAUUUACAUGUGGCCAAUGUUUAGAAGUCGAAGAGUUUGAUUGUAAGCUCAAAAAAUUUGGCUCCAAAUUCUUUUUCAUUUUGGCCGCAAUGUAUUGCAUUUGGGCACUACUUUCUGAAUUUUAUUUAAAUUUGGAGAAAUCAAAUUUUGACUUUUAAUUUUGAAUUUAAAUUGAAAAAUUAUUCAAGUUUAAACAACUAAGAGCCAAAAUUUAAGUUUUCUCUCCUUUAUUUUCGCGUAAAUUUUGGAAAUUUGUUGCAUUCAAUGAAUAAGUUUGAAAAAUUUCCAUUCAUUUCUCAAUCAUGUCAUUACACAAGUAACACAACCCAAAAGGCAUGCGCCUAUUGGGAAAUGUGACAUAAGGACACGUGAAGGUUGCUUUUUCUUGAUCCGUAGGGGCUAUAGGGAUCUGGAAAUAACCAAAUAAUCCAUCUAAAAAGCAAUAAAAUCUAUUCCCUACUAGCCUUUGUAACAUCUGAAUAAUAAAAGGUAAGGGAAAGUGAUCCUUCCCAGUGGUUGAUUUAAGUUUCUAUAGUCGAUGCAUACUCUCCAUCCAGUCACUGUCCUAGUGGGAAUUAAUUCAUUAUUCACAUUUUUUACUGCAGUUGUAACAUCCUACUGAAUCGAAUCGUUGCAUAGAGUCGAGUCGAGUUGGGCCGAACAAGAACCCGGUUCGAGCCAUUUAAAUCCAGAGUGGGGUAGAAUGGGAUGUAACUUAAAUAAGUAAAAGAAGUGGACUUACUUGAAUGAAACAAAAAGAUCAAAGUAUAAGGAGUAGGACUUACUUGCACAGCAGUCAUCCCCCUUUCUUAGGAACUACCUGAACUGGACUCACCCAUGCACUAUCAGAAAUUGGAUAAAUAAUACCUGCUUCAAGUAGCUUUAUCACUUCCUUCUUUUCUACCCCUUGCAUAGCCGGAUUCAACCUCCUUCUACCCCUUGCACAGCCGGAUUCAACCUCCUUUGUGGUCGAAUAGUGGGCUUGUAAUCAUCUUCCAUUAAAAUCUUAUGCAUACAUCAUCUUCCAUUACUAAAGACUCUGUGAGACUCAAAGAAUAUAUCAUGAAUACAUCAUGCAAUACUAGCAGCCUAUAAAUGUUUCCCUACAAGCCCAAACAAAAUACGCAAGCCAGCUGUUAGACUUCAGAAAAUGUAAAAAAUGAAAAAACUGACAAAUACAAAUACCAGAGUUUCUAAGCUACAUGAAGACAAGCAAAAAAUAGUUGAACUGAUACGGAUCGAAUCAAAGAAUGAGAUGUAAGUUCGCCUCUAUGGCACCCCUCGUUUAUAAUGAAACGGAAACACCAAUAAUCGAGAUUAAACGCUCAAGGAAACGGUAACACCAAUAAUCAAGCAAAGAACAAGAUAAACGCCACAAAGAGUUGAUAAGUUUACCUUAAUUCUUGAUGCAAUUAGAGGAAGCAAUCUCUCACUAUCACUCUAAGCAAAGGAGUACAAGCUUGAACAAAUGAAGUUUAUCAAAAAUCAAAAGUUCCGUCCUUACAUGGAAGACAAGUUAUUUAUACUAAAUAAGGAAUCUAGGUUUAACAAAGCAUAAAACACACAAAACACGCCUAAGACACCCCAAGCCUUUAAGUCGAUGUCACUGUAGCGAGUCAAAUUUACUGUAGCAAGUCAAACUAAUUGAAACGGGCACUGUAGCAGGCGUGCUUUCCUCCACUGUAGCAGGCGUGCUUUCCUCCACUGUAGCACUGUAGCAGCGUGCUUUCCUCCACUUAAUAUGCCACCAACAACAUUAAAAGCCUAGGAAUGCCUUCAAGUUCCUCACAACACUUGUUGAAUGCGACAUCAUGAAGUUCUUGUGUUAUUUGGGCUUGAACAAAUAAUGAUAUGGCUGCCCCAUAUCGCUUGGCACGGCUCCUUGUAAUCGGUCCAAUAGGAAGCACCAAUGGAUCUCCUUCGUCGUUCACCAUGCCUCCUUGCGAUCCAGUGACGAGUGAUGAUGGAUCCGUAUCAUGAACAACCCCUUUUCUCUUAAGUGAAAUAUUUUAAUCAAAUCAACUCCAGGGAAUUCCUCAAGAUGACAUCAAGAAGUAGUCUCACGACAAAUCACUGCUUUCUUCUAAUGCCCAAACCCCAAUCAUUGUUACAUACCAACAAUGCCAACAAUUAAAUAUCAAAUCCCUCCCAACUCGGAAGCACCUAUAUAGAUAGCCAAAGGAGUGGUAUCUAUGUCACCUUUUCCCUUCAUAAUAUGCACACACACACUAACUAAUAGGUGCCUUAGAAAAGAAAGUUGAAUAAUAGUUCAUGGCAAGGACAUGAGUGCACACUAAUUCAGUGUUAAAGGUAAUAAAUGUUGAGAAGACUGAACUGAUUGAAGGACAAGAAGAAACUUCUAGCAUCUAGAAUAAGCCUUAUUAGACCAAGUUAUCAAGCUAUAAAGGACACUAGAGUGUCUUUGAUGAAGCUGAGCGGCUACAGAUUAUAAAACUGUAAAGGCCUCAUUCCUGGAUUUGCAGAGGUUUGGGUCACAAAUAAAUCAAGAAUCGACUAAAACUUGUCAUUUCCAAUUUAUCAGGCAGUUGGCACUAACAUAUUGCUCAUAUAGUCAGUAAACUUAAGCAUGAAUUAAACAUCUAAAGAAAACUCAGGCCUAAAUGCAGUACAAGCAAAUAAUUGAAUUGAUUUGGCAAGUUGAUCCAAGAUCUUCUUUACCAAGUUAAAGAAAAAAAGACCAGGAGAAACAAGAAUAAAUAUUCACAACAAAUUCAAGCCAGAAUAUCUACAUUAAAUUAAUAAGAAAACAACAACUUGCAACAUAAAAGUACCUGUAAAGCAUCUUGUUUGGGUGAAGAGGAUAACACCAUUGUGAGAAGUUCAAUGCUAUUUCUUGCCACAUCAAAUGCUUCCUUAGUUUGUUCAGCUGUAAAGCUUACCACGGGCAUAUCAUGCUGAAUCUGCUAAGCAAGAUUUGCAUCCACUUCCGGUGGUGAAACUGUACGAGGAGGGGUAAAGAUACGUGCCAAACUCUCAUUGUCACGACCAGGGAACCGGAUACCCCUUGAUCUUAAACUCUAUAAUAGCAAAGGAAAAUGCCCAAAAUAGGGGGAUAAAUGAGAGGAGAGUUCAAGAAGCCAUGACUUGGUGUUAGCCAAGAAUAGCCAAAUUUGAAACUAAGAUCUAAAACAGCAUUAUAUCAUAAACGAACACACAACAUCCUUGUGCAACUCAAACUAAGAUCUAAAACAGCAUCUAAAACAGCAUUAUAUCAUAAUUCAUUUUGUUUCAUAAUAAAUUAGGAAAUAAAUUAUCUAAUAGUCUUGGUAUUUGUAUCACUACAUGUAUCCAUGGAUUUUAACUGUAAAUCCAAAUUCAAAUAGGAAUAAAUAAAUGUUUAGAAUUAACUUUCUAUCAUUUUGCUGUCCAAUCUUUUGUCUCUGCAACGUAGAAAACAGGCAAAUGGUAGAGUAAACUUUUAAAUAGCAUAAAUAACAAAAGAUUAUAAUUUCACAAGUCAAAGCCAUGGAUUUACAUUUUUUAAGCUAAUAUUUUUAAUUCCUUAACUCUUUUCUAAAUUCAUAGUUAUUAUUUGGAAAGAUAAAUAGAAAGGCAAGAAAAGUGAUAAAAAAAAUACAAAAUUUUGUAUUUAAUGAGAAUCAAAUUCACCUUUAAUCUGCAUUUUAGCGAGUCACCAGCAAUAUUUUUUUAUUGCCUAAACAACCUAUAAUUUGAAAGUGCAGGCAAAAUAAUCAAAAUAACAUGUAAUCAAAGAGUAUGAAGGCAACAAAAUAGCAAAAAAAUUUUAAAAAAAACUCAAUCCAAGAAAAAUAACAACAAAAUAAAAACUCAAUCCAAGAGAAAAGCAAAAAAAAUAAAAAGUUCACCUGAUUCUGCAGUAAUGAAAUAAAAAGAAUAACAAAUACAAAUAAUAUAUAAGUAGAUAUAUGGUUAGAGAGAGAUAAAAAAAAAGGAGCAAUUCAAAAGCUUUCAAAUAAAAAGAUACAUAGCAAAAUAUGAUUAAAUUUGUUAGAUUCUUUCGUCAAAAAAAAAAAUUGUUAGAUUCAAUUUUCAAACAAAGAUGCAAUAUCAAUACAAUUCUUUAAAUAUAAAUAUGAAUAAAUUUUAAAAUAUAUUUUAAUGGCCAAUCAAAUUAUAAAAAUAAAGAAAAAAAAUAGUAAAAAGAAAAAAAAAGCUCAAAAAUUUGUUAAAAAAGAAAAAUAUGAAUACUUAAAAAAGUAGAGAGCCAACUAAGCUUUUGUAAGUUUUUUUUUUUUCAGGAUUAUAUAUAUAUAUAUAUAUAUAUAUAUACACACAUUAUAAUUAGGGGCGAAUUACUUUUUAAUCCCUGAAUUUUGGUGUAAUUAAUAAUCUUAUUCAUUUAUUUUGAAACACAAAUUAAUUCAUAUGAUUGGUUGCACUAUUAAGUUUUAUAUCCAUCCAUGAAACAAUUUGAUUUUGAUAGUGUUCAGCAAUAACUUUUUAACUAUGUUAUUUUUUUUAUAGUAUUCGGUAAUAUGACAUUUGUACUAAUUUUUAAAUGUUAAGUUAGCGUUUUAUAAAAAUGUUUAGCUUUUAAUAUUUUAUAAAAAGCUACUCAAACAGCUAACGACUAAACGCAACUAAAACAAUUAAUAGCUGUCAAAACAAUUAAUUUUGCUGAAGAGAUCCUUUAACUUUUAAUGUUAAGGUAGCGUUUUACAAGAACGUUUAGCUUUUAGUGUUUUAUAAAAAACAACUCAAACAGCUAACAAUUAAAUGCUACUAAAAUCAUUAAUAACUAUCAAAACAAUAAAUUUUACAGAAGAAAUCCUUUAGCAGUCAAAUAGAUAAAACACAGUCAAAAUUGAGGGAAAAUAUUUUGGUGUCAAAAUUAUUUUAUAAAUAAAUCUCAAAAAAGUAAUCAUUAAGUGCUAAAAGAAAAAUUAGAUUGUUAUUUCUUUUUCUUUUAUUGUUUUCACACUGAAAUUAUGGUACAAAGUUAUUGAUACAAUGCCGCAAUUUUAAGCAGACUGACAAACUCAAUAUAACACUAACAAAAUAACACAAUUUUUAAUCAACAACACAAAUACUAUCAAUUCUAUUGUGCUUGAUUGUGAAUCAAGAUGGUAUGUAUAAGUUGUGUGGUUGAAUAUAAAAUAUGGUUUCUGAUUAGGAAGAAGAUUCCACACUGGGAAGAUUGGUGGCAUUGAUAUAAUUUAUGUGAUGACUGGGGACCAAAUUGCAAGAUUCCAUUCGUCACUCUCUUUACUUUUUUGUAAUAUAUACAGUUUAAAAUUUACCUUCAUUGCCUUUUUAUCAUUCUUUCUAAAUUCUAAAUUCCUAAUUAAUAUGCAUGGUUAAUAAAGUUUAACUAAAACAAUGUAAACUGGAUCAAAUCUAAACCUUCCACCAAAUCUAUAAUCUGUUGAUUUCUUUACAUUUUCUGUCAAUUUUCUCCAAUCUCUUACAAUUGUUAGGGUAAAUUUAGUUAAAUGCAGGCAUAACAGUACAAAUACUUGCUGGUACAUUUGAAAUUGAAGGAAUAGUUCAUUACGGAACAGCAGGAAGUGUUAAUGCUUCAUUAACUAUUGCUGAUGUGAGUGUUCCAACUACGUUGCCUUUACGAGUUCUUGGAAAUGGAAGGUAAAACUUUUCAAUCUUCAUUUUCUUUAAUUUUCAAUUUUCUUCUACUUGCCUUUAAUCCACUUGGGAAGUGCAGGAGUUGAAGUCAGGGACAGGGAAAUUGCCAGAACUAAAAUUUGGAGACUUUAAUUUUCCAGGAAAAGGAGAAAAUUUAUUAGCAAAGAUAGAAUUCACACCAACACAGGUUUUUUCGAUUGGAAAAUCAAUGGAGGAGAUGUUUUGGCUUCCAAUAGACUCUAAAUGGUUUAACAUUGCUUCUCAACUUCUGGUUUGCCAUUUUCCUGAUUCAACACAUUGUACUAGAAACCGAAACUCGAUUUUCAAACCUAAACCUAAAAUAUUCUCGAUAAGAAUAUUUUUGACAUUUUGCAGUAUGUGUUUAUUUAUUAAUUUGUUACAUCCAAUUCUGCAGGAAAUAAAUUUAGAACGAGGUGUAAACGACACCUAUUGUUUGGCAGAAGCACCAAAAGUAGUGUUUGGAUUAAGAGGCUGCACUGCUUAUAUAUUCGUUGACAAUGCAGGGUAUAGAGAUUUUCUUUUCAAACAAUUCAGUGUCUCAACAGUAGAUGAAGAGAGUGCAGCUAUCGUCAUGGUUAGUAAGAACUUCUUUUAUUAAAUUAACCAAGUAGAAAAGUUCACAAAAUACAUAAUUAAAAUUGUAAAAUUAAUCAUAAUCAUUAUAAUUUUCAAUGGAUUUUAAGGCUUCUCUGUCAAAUGGAGUGCCUUGUGUUGUGUUUCGCGGGGUAUCGGAUUUAGCUGGUGGAGAACUAAAGCUGGCUGAGACGAGCUUCAGUCCUCUGGCUUCUGUCAAUGCUCUUAUUGCUGCGGUUGAGUUUAUAAAAUUAUCAGGGAAUAAGGUUAAGACUAAUACAUAUGCAGUGCAGGAAAAUUGAAACUAUAAACUCCAUCAACCCCUUUUCUUUUCUUUUCUUUGCUAAUGAUUAAUUAGACUGCUUGUACUCGCUAAUUUAUAAUCCUGUUGCAAAUUAUAAACUAGGGUUUUAUUGAGGUUGCAAUAAUAUAUUAUUCUUAUUGUUACUAUGAAAACAAAAUAUUAUUGACGAAUCAACUCCUCUCGCCUUCCUCUUCAAUUUGUUGGCUUCAAUCAUGAUUAUUAUUGACGAAAUCGGAAAUUCCCAAAAGGUGGCCGGCCGAUUUCCGGUCAAUCGAUAAAUGCCCACGCUAAAAUAACAUCACGUUCGUUAUCCUUGCUCUGAGACGAACUUUCUGAUGUAUGAUUUGCUAAAUUUGGGUGUAGUUGACUUUUCUCACCCACCAUGAACGGCGGCCGACAGCGAUUUUCCGAUCAGAUUCAGAAUAUAUAAUUAGUGUUGCGAUCAGAUAGUAAUUGACCCUUGAUUUAAUAAUUGAUGCAAAUUGAGAAAUUAGAUUGUGAAGCCGAAAUUCAUAGAAAAUGAAGGUAUCGGUAAUUUUCCGACCUUAGAACAGAUUGAGUUAGUUAUUUGUAAAGUAAACGGAUUGUUAUGGCAGGGGGACAGGUUUUUUUUUUUUUUUUUUUUUUUUUUAUAAUAUGGCAGGUGAACAGUUAAUUACCGUUAAACUUGAUUUAGAAAUUGUUUAAUUCAUACUUAUUCUUUUUAAUUAAUAAAAUAUAAAAUAAAAGGGAGGAAGAAAAGAAAAAAGGAAGUGCAAGCAUACUAAGGAUGUGGCGGAGGAGAGAUAUACAGUGAAAAUAGCUUCUGAAUUUUGGUUACAACUUUGGCAACGGAUAAAAUUUCUGUUGCGAACCCCUUUGCAGACUCUCAGAGGAAAACUUCUAUUGUGUUAUAUCUUUAGAAACGGAAAAAAAGUCCGUUUCUAACACGUUCAUAGAACCCUUCAUCAACUCUUGGCAAAGGAAAAAUAAUGAAACAAGAUUUGUUAAUUAAUAAAAAUAAUAUGAUUAAAAAAACUAAUAUAAUCAAUCUAAUUAAAUUAUAUAAAUAAAAUUAAAAUUUCUCUAAUUAGUGGGUCUAUCUCUUUAAGAUAUUUCAUGAUAAUGCUAUUGAGGAGGAAAAACUUAUAAGUUUGUAAUUAUUCGUGAUUACUAAACAAUUACAGUUAAUCUAUAGAUUUAAAUUAUAAGAACUAUAACUAAAAACUAUUCUAUUAAUUUGUAAAUAGAUAAAAACUAUUCUAUUAAUUUGUAAAUAGAGAGAGAGUUAAGGUUAUACUUAUCUCAGAAGAAAAUAUGAUUGCAAAUUCAAUAAUUCCAAAUUAGCAAAAACUUGAUGUAACAAUUCUUGAUAGUCAAAAGCAAUUAAAACUAAAAAUAUAUAUAGUGGUAUGAUAGGACAAGUUCCUAAUUAGAAUGAAUUAAAUUUAUAAUAUUAAUAUAAUAAAAAUAAUAAAUUGAUAUCAUAAUUUGAAUAGAAUCGGUAAUGAUAUUUUUGUCAAUUAACAAACUUAGUAUCGGCGUUUUAGAAAUCUUAUAUUCCCCUCAUUCGUACUUUUAUAUAUAUUAUAAAUUAUAAAUUAUAGAUUAUAGAUAUGGUUAUAAAGAAUUAAAAAUGCGAAAAUUUAAAAUAAAAAUAUUGAUGGGUUAUAUUUAUUUUGAAAUGUGAUUUUAUUAUAUAAAAUAGUGUUGAUGUUGGGAUUGGUGAAUGAUAAAUUGCGGCGGACUAAGUUAUCUGAUGUUUGAAUACUUGUUGCUCAUACAUAUGUAUUUCAAUCUUUUCAUUUAAACUAGUCUUUUGUAUAUGGUUAUAUAUUCAUUUUUUUAUCUAUAUAAUAUUAAAGUAUGAGUUUUAUUUAGAUUAAAAUAAAUAUAAGUACUCAAUUUGUAUUAUAUUUUACCGUACAAACUACUUGUAAUGAAAUGGUCUCGGAAUAAAGUUCAACUUAAUCCCUAGACCUACUUCUUUAGUCCCUAAUUUAUAGAUGCGGAUCUUUAAAAUCUUAAUAGGUUCCCAAAAAGAAAACCAAGUCAUUACUGAAUCUUCAACUCCUGCCCUCAACACCAAAUCAAUAUUUAAAUAUAACUAUAAUGAAAAAUAAUAAUAAAUUAUUUUUAUUGCUAGGCAAAGAAAAGAAAUGAGAGGAUGAUCCGAAUUAAUAAUAGAAAUUACUUUGGUUACGGUGACAGUAUUAUUUACCCAGUGUAUCAGAGAAAGAAAUAUAUGCGCAUAUACACAAAUAAUGAAAUUCCCAAAAUGUGACCCAAAUAGAACUAUAUGACCCAAACAAAACUAUAUAGUUCUAGUUUUAUUCCAGUUUCCUAAACACUAUUUUCUUUUAAUCAAACAGAUUUAGGAUAUAAGAGAAAAAAUAUCAAGAAAAUUAAAAAUGUUUAAUCAUCAAUAAAUCAUCUAUUUAUUGCAAUGGGAUAUAAAUCUCUUAAAAUGAUAAUAGUUACAAAUCAUUCAAUAACGAAAAAGAAAAUAAAAAAUUAUUAUUAAGAAUAAAACUCUUUUAAAACUCAUCUAAUAAUAAAAAAGCAUUUCAAUGUAUAUAGAGAUAUAUGAAUGUAUCAAUAAAAUAUUAUAUACUGUUUAAAUUAAAAUUUUCAACUGUUUACCAUCCCAAGUUUAAUUAUGUACAUUCUAUUUGAAAAUUUAUUUUUUUAAAAAAUACAUCCAAUCAAAUCAUACAAACAUAAAAAAAGAAUAUUAAUAUAAAGAAUGUAUUUUCUUUCUUUUUUUUAUCUAUACCCUAAAAGAAUUAAAUAUUUAAUAAAUAAAAUAUAAAAAUAUUUUCAAAUGUCUCAUUAUCAUAUAUAUUUAUUAAAACAUAAAUUUAGUAAAAGUAAAACUUAAAUUUUAAAUGCUGAAUUGUAUAUAUAUAUAUAUAUAUAUAUAUCAUAUAUAUAUAUAUAUAUAUUUUUAAAAUAUAAAUCUUUUAUUCGUUAGGAGGAUUGAUUGCCGAAAUUACACUGCGAGCUACACAACAAAAAAUAAUCCUCCACUCACCAAAUUGGUGAAAAUACCUUUGGUCGAGAGGAUUCGAACUCGAAACAUCUCACUCCUCACAUAAGUGAGAAGACAAUCAGACCACACAUAAUUGACUUGAAGAAUAAUUUUUAUAAAUACAUCAAAUCAAUUAAUAAAAUGUAAUUUUCUAAUUGACAAUAACUAAUGUUAUUUUAAGAUAUCCUAAAUUUCAUUAAGUUCUCUAUUAAAAAUCUCAUUAUGUUCGAUCUUUUCUAUACUGCAAAAUAGUUAUCAAAGAUCUUUGUUGAAAAAUAUUUGAAGAGAUAAUUUAUUUUCUCAUCAAAAUAUUCAAAACACGAGUACAUUUUUUGGUAUAAUUAACAAGUAUAUUCAAAAUAGUUUUUUUUUUUUUUUUUUCUAGAAGCAACAUCUAAUACAAGAGAUGAUUGAAAAAUAUAGGUAAAAUAUGAUUUUCGCUGUAAUGUUGAGUUUUGACAAUUAAAGUUUUAUUUUUGUUUUUAGAAGAUACACAUUAAUUAAUAUGUUGGUAUAAUUAGGAGUAAGGAAACAUUGCAUAUGUUCUCAACAUUUAAGGGAAAAAAAAGAUUUCUUAAAUACUAUUGGUGUCUAACCCAUUUGGUAAUUUUUUUUCACUUGAUUGUAUCUUACUUUGGCUUCUUCACAAGAACUCGAAUUGAAUUGCAUCAAUUUUUUAAACUCUUCUUCUUGGGCACGGUUUUGAAUUGAAGAAAUUGGAAAAGAAAUUGAAGAAAUUGGAGAAUUACUCCACAAGGCCAUGAAUCCACUUUUGGACCCUCGUAAGCCCGCCGUGCCAUCACCUCCGGCGCCGUGAAAAUUGGUGUUCCACAAGCUGUCUGGAGAAUACAUCUGUCGUUUUGGGUCCCAGCAGCAAGUCUUUUGUUUUUAUAAGCGGCAGCUUGUUAUUUGUUGGGUUGCAACUUGAAAGGUUGUUUUGAGUGCAGCCAGGUGGCCAUUAUUUGGUGUAUAAUUCCCGAAAUUUUGCUUUUUUUUUUUUUUUUUUUUUUGGUUAAAGGACUGAGAUGGAAGAGGAAGAGGUUGAGAUGUAGAAGAUGAGGACAAUUUUGUCUUUUAUAGUAUAUUUAACGGUAAAAGUAGGAAAAUUAUACGGAAGGGCACGAUUGUUCAACGAAGUCAAAAGUUAAGGGCAAAAUAAUAUAUUUCUAAAACCGCGAGAAUAUGCUAGUUAAUUUUAACAAAAUAUGAGGAUAAAAUCAUAAUUUUUCCUCUAUAAAAUUUGUGGCGAAUUUCCUCGGGAACAUAAUCUGAGCUCUAAAUUUUGUAUUGGAAUUUAGUACAAAAACUUUAUAAUUAAAGAUCAUUUUUUAGUACUUCAUUUAUGAAAAUCAUGUACAUAGUUUAUAAAUUUAUAUUAAUUUUUUUGUGCAACAUAUACAUUUUGUUUAAUGUACAUAUCUUGAAAAUAAAGUUCUGCCACCUUAGGAAAAAAAAAAAAAAAUCUUACACUUCGUUCUGUAUAAAAGAAUGCAAAUAGAAUUCACUUAUGAAAGAAUUCUAGAUUCAUUUCUAAAUGAAAUUUUCAAGUUUGGAAUAAAUUUAAAAAUUGCAAAUUCAUUUGCUUUUAUUAGUAAGAUAUCAUUUGCAUCAUAAUUUUAGAAAGCUAAAAGAGGAUGGAAAGUUUUGUCACAAAGCUUGAAUUGUUUAAGCUUGUAUAGAAGAUUUUGUAAUAAAGUUUGAAGGAUUUAAGUUUGUAAAAUUCAUUUGAAAAAUCUAAAAAUUUUUUUAUGGAAUUUAAUUUAGUUAAAUUGAAAUCUAUAGAAUUGAAUUUGUAAAAUUUAAAUUUUUAUAUUUUUCACAACAAAUAUAAAAAUUUGGAUUUAUAAAUGAAUUUCACAAAAUCUUGCUGUGAAAUUCAUUUAUUCCAGACAAGAGUUAAAAGCUAAAAAAAAAACUAUAGUAACUUUUUAAUAGCUGUUUUGGUAGCUGUUAGUUAUUUUAAUAACAUUUAAUUAUUAGCUGUUUUAGUAACUUUUUAUAAAACGCUAAAAGCUAAACGUUAUAUGGAUUAACUUUUUAUAAAACGUUACCUUAACUUCUAAAAGCUAAUUCAAACGCUUUAUUACCGAAAACUAUAAAGAAUGACAAUUAGCGUUUUGAUCGGUCAAAACAUUAAAAAUUACUUUAAAAGCUAUCGCCGAAUACAGUUCUAAUACAUAAAUUUACCCUUGAAAUUUAUGCGAUUUAUCUUAUGAUACUUUUAAAUUUGCAAAAGACUUAUUAUAAUCUUAUAUUUUCACAUUUCAAUAAAAAUUAUAUCUCUCCCAAAAUGAAAUAAGUUUGUAAGAGUUAAAUCAUUAUCUUACAACAACAAACAUUCACAGGUGCAAAAAAGAAAAAGGAGUUGAGUACAACACUAGAUUCGAAUGUUAAGAAUGAUGCAAUAAUUGCCUUCAAUGAAUGUAGUUUGUGGACCACGAUCGUGCAUUAUCCAUCGCACACUUUAAGUGAUAGUACGAAUAGAUAUUUCUACUUUUUUUAAAAAAAAUACGAACCAUUGCAUUUUAUUUGACAUGGGAAUAAAUAAAGAAAAAACAUCCUUUAGCCCAACGAGGUGGCCAGGCAUGUCUAUAAAUUAUUGUUAAGUGAAACGUAAUGUCUCAUUGAAACUCCAUUAUAACUUGAAUACAAAAACGACAUGACUUCACUAUUGCCUCAAACAAGACAACAUAAUGACAAUUACGUUUUUGGCUUAAGGUUAUGUAUAAUGCAAUGAAAAAUAUAUAAUGUAAAGAAAAAUUAGUUUUCAAAUAUAUAAUGCAAUCAAAAAUAUAAUGAAAUGUAAUAAAUUAAAAUUUCAUUACUAUAUUUAGUAAUGUAAUUGAAAAAAUUUAUUUAAUAUAAUCAUCAUUCUAUUUUUACAUUUAUUUAUAAAUAUGUAAUAUAAUUAACACACUACCACUAUUAAAACCAUCACCACAACUACUGUUUUACCACCAUCACCACCACCAUAACAUUCACUCCACCAUCACCACCACCUCAGCACCACUCCACCACUAACCAUGCAUCAUUAUUAAUACAUAAGAAAUAUUUAAACAAAAGCUAUUCACUAUAUUAAUUAAUUAAAGAGCAUUUAAAUUUAUAAAUUUAUUUAAAUAAAAAAAUUAAUAGAGAAUAAGUCUGAGAAAAUAUAAUAUAACAAAAUAAAAGUUUACAUAUUUGGAAAUUAUAUAUUUUCUAAGCUAAAUUCAGCUUUUCGGAGUUUAUCCAUCAAAUAUCUCCUCGCAUGAUAUACGUGGGGUCUCUUAUGACAAUUUAUAUGUAGUUUGUGGACAGAGUGCCCCUCUACCAUUUUGUACUUGAAAAAAAAAAAAAAAAAAAAAAAAAGACUAGUCAGCUUCUGGUACUUGACAUGCAACUUUAAAAAUUCAAUAUCGGUUAAAUAGCUUUGACGUUUUCUCAAUUUUUAAAUAACUUAAUUUUUAUUAAAUUAAAAUUAAAAUUAUUGUUUUAUUUUUUAUUGAAAAAAUUAAUCUUUUCAUUAUAUGAUGCCGAAUUAAGGUGAUAAGCGAUGGCUGUGUCCGCAAUCAAGUCGGUGCUUGGAUUGUUGGGUGUUAUGUCCAUGCAACAGAGUCAAACUGGGUUCAAUAUGAGCUCAUUUUACCCACCUAUUGCAAACUUUGUUCGUGUACCUUGGCGUUGAGUCUGAAAUUCUGUUUAAUAUUCGUCCGUGCAGCUUAUGAAGACUGAAAGUCUGUGUUUGUGUUAUCCUUUUAAGUAACGUUAAUAAGCAUGGCUUUGACUGAUCCACCAUCUCCACUGGAGUGUGUGCGUGAAUCUCAAUGCUAUGAGCAAAUAAA
Molecule: long non-coding RNA, 23046 nt
Filed under: Jatropha curcas
Lineage: Eukaryota; Viridiplantae; Streptophyta; Magnoliopsida; Malpighiales; Euphorbiaceae
Description: long non-coding RNA (JCUR_LNC002598)
Source: RNAcentral